CGCCGUCCGGGUCCGCUCGCCCCGCGGCCGCCGAGGCCGUUAGGGCCUCUCCCUCCCCGCCAGCAGCCGGCCCUCCGCGCCGCCACUGGUUGCCAUGGGGACGCGGCCGGAACAAGCCGCCGCCGCGGAGGGAUGAAAUUGUUUCGGAAAGGAUGAGGAGAGCAGGAAGUUCCUGAGUCUAAAGGAGUGGAAGAGUGUGACCAGAGUGCUGGUAUGAGAUGGCAAGAGAGCUCAACGCUGAAAGAGAAUUAGAGGACACAGCAAGAAACUGCCCAUUUAUGCCACGUGAAAGGCACUGUGGAAGAAGAAGGAUCCAGGAAGAGAAGAGUGCAAAGAAAACUUCAUCUGAAAUAAGCAAGGUGUUUUUUCAAGCCAUAAAAACAAAAAGAAGCUCACCCUCAGCAAAAGUUAAGGAAUAUAAAUUUAAAAAAUGCCAUACUUUCUCUCAUAGGAUUGAGAAAAAUUAGAAAGACUAAUGACAUUUACAAUUAGCAAAGAUAUAGAGACACUCUCAUCUGCUGCUUGGGAGAGUGUAAAUUGUUACAAUUAUUUGGGGGAGAAAAUUUGACAAUAUCUAUAUCAAUUUAAAAUGGGCAUAGCCAGAGAUUCCAUUUUAAGAAUUUACCCUACAGAAAUAAUACCUUAAGAACAUAAAGAUAUAUAUGC
Molecule: long non-coding RNA, 666 nt
Organism: Prionailurus viverrinus (fishing cat)
Lineage: Eukaryota; Metazoa; Chordata; Mammalia; Carnivora; Felidae
Exons: 3
Source: RefSeq, a predicted model, not a curated record